Molecule: ribosomal RNA, 2417 nt
Filed under: Triticum aestivum (bread wheat)
Lineage: Eukaryota; Viridiplantae; Streptophyta; Magnoliopsida; Poales; Poaceae
Description: partial small subunit ribosomal RNA
Source: RNAcentral
GUGGUUAGGGCGCAGGAAGAGCUCGGGGUGUAGGGAGGAGGGGUAGUUAGGGGGCAGGAUGAGGUCGGUACGGAGCGGCGGUGGAGAGGAAGGGGUAAGUAGGAGAGCUAUGCGACGGCGGCGGUAUAGAGAGGAGGGGUGUGUAGGAGAGAGGAGCAGUGUAGACCGGCCUCCUCUUGUAACGCCGCCGUAGAGGACCGCUACCGUCACUCCCGCCCACUCCGACGUUCCGCUGCUCGGUUCCGCCGCCUCCUAGGCCAAGCAUACGACAACAACAACGGCUACCUGCCUACUCCGCGAGAGUCCAGUGAGGGGUGCCCGGAGGAAGCAGAGGGUUCAGAGUUGGUACCGGCCGAGGUUGGGGAGGAGACAACAACACGAGGACAUCCUCUUCUUCUUCUUCUCAUCCGUACUAGAGACAUAUGUAGGUCACAUAAACCAACCUAAUGAAAGCAAGAGACUCUUUAAACCGUAACUUUUUAUUUUCUUUAUUCUCUGGGUGCCAGACAUGAAUUCCAGAUCCUAGACGAUCCAACCACCUAGACGCUCGAACGCCAAGGACAACAACUAGUUGGCGACGAAGCCACCUCCAAAUUAGUUGGUUCACUCACGUCAUCGUUUGGUCGACACGCCGAAUAUCCUCGUGAACGCGGUAGAAACAUUACCAACGAAAUAGAUCCAGAGGUGUCCGAACGGCAGUCUUCUGUAAAAUUACACUCCUUUUGUGUUUGUGGGAACAGUGAUGACCUCUCCUACCGGAUUUUAAGACCCUAAAUUCACUUAAACGUGGAACCCACCCCACUGCUCCAACGACGCCGAUCCGACGGCUAACCGGUUCGUUUGGGAUGACACAGAUGUGGAGACGUACCCAUGAACGGCGAAAACAUUUGGAGUGACAGUAUUGACCUUACUUAACGUUUAUUUUAACAUUCAAAGGAGCGCAUAAGAGUGAAGUAAACUUCGUGAAAGGUGUAGACUAUCGGGUCCACCCUAUAUUUACCUUGAAAGUGAAUCUAUCAACGUAAGAUUUUAUGCAGAUAUAUGUAGGUAUACAUCAGGUUUAUCAUUAGAGAUUUUUGUGAAUAUAAAUCCUUGCCUCCCUCAUUAAGAGACUGUUCAAGGAUAACUAAUGUACAUGCAUACCAAAUAAAAGAUGUCAACCUUUUCCAGGAUUUUAUAGCAGCUGUACCAAAUACAUACCAGUCGUUUCCGGAAUUCGUACAGAAGACGUUCAAAAACAAUCAAUAGUGAAGUAUCGAACCAGUUUGAAAAACCGGCCACUGUUCAAUAUCCGUUUCUUUGUAUAUUUCUUGAUUAAUAACACCACCUAGAACGUAAAGACUAAUAGGUAAUAGGUAAUGAAGAUUUUGUCGUCGUCCACCCACUUACUAACCGAUGGUUGUCAAGGUAUAUGAAGUAGUCGAAACACUAUCAUUCGUAUCAUUGUACAAGUUUAUAUACAGGGUCCGCUUGGUCGACGAAUUCAUGGUAAGAAUAUAAAUCGAAGCACGAAUAUUAAGAAAACACGGUAGAUACUACUUGAGGUGUGUCGGAAUACAAAUCUACACCGUACGAGGUACGAUACUUGUAACAUUAGGAGAUAGUAAUCGAAAGAAAAGAAUAUGAUGUAUACAUAUUACUAGUAGUUAUAUAUGGGUGUAUUAUGAACCAAUAUCAAUCGUAGAACGCGGUACCCGCGUUGCCCAGUAGAUCUGUGUUGUUUUCGCGGUUUGGUAGUUGGAUCUGUUGUUAUAAUUACAAGCAUCUGACGCUUUCUAGUAGGUCUUGUGGUGGUGUAGAUUAGUGAUCAUACAGACAGUGUACUAUCUUUGUAAACGAUGUCUGCCGUUUUCCUACCAUUAGGAAACGUUAAUGAAACAAAACAAAGUAUGUUACUGUAGCAUAUUUUACUAUAUGAUUGAUUGGAAAUGAAAGUAAAAGUCAUAAAACCCCAAGGGAAAAGAUUCUCGAGGGAAAAGAGUGUGUACCUACGACUGGUACCACUUGACGGUUAGUGAUGACCUCUGCCUUGAUGGCGACAGUGUCGGACGAAAUAGUACCCACAACUGUUUUCCCGGUGGUAGUGAUCUCCGACCUCACUGAAGAAAGCAGUCCGCGUGUACUUCUUUCCAGUUCGUAUACGAAAGCUGAAAUUUACGUGAAGGUUCUCUGACGCGGACUAGCAGAUGAGUUAUAUUUGUUCAACGUUCUCAGGGAACAAUAUAUUGGAUCGUAAUCAUCUCUACAGAUGAUUCUGAAGAUACAAAUAGUAAACAGAUAACGUACAAGAGACGAGUAACGUCCAUACGUUCGAGAAAACUUUGAGAACCACAUUUCUUUUUAUAACAACAAACGGGAUAGUUCUUAUAAUCGAGCUUAUUCAGGUCUACAUACGGUUGACUUUUCCAAUAAUACGC